CAGCCGCCGCGGUAACACCAGCCCCUCGAGUGGUGGGGACUAUUAUUUGGCCUAAAGCGUCCGUAGCUGGCUGUAUCCGUCUCCCGGUAAAUCCGGCGUCCUAAGCGUCGGUUCUCGGGUGAUACCAUACAGCUAGAGGGUGGGAUAGGUGAGCGGUAUUUCUGGGGUAGGGGCGAAAUCCUUUGAUCCCAGGAGGACCACCAGUGGCGAAGGCUGCUGACUAGAACACGCCUGACGGUCAGGGACGAAAGCUGGGGUAGCGAACCGGAUUAGAUACCCGGGUAGUCCCAGCUGUAAACGAUGCACGCUAGGUGUUGGGUCGGCCACGCGCCGCCCCAGUGCCGCAGGGAAGCCGUUAAGCGUGUCGCCUGGGGAGUACGGCCGCAAGGCUGAAACUUAAAGGAAUUGGCGGGGGAGCAC
This 420-nucleotide ribosomal RNA is filed under the name uncultured crenarchaeote. Its description in RNAcentral is "bacterial SSU rRNA". It matches the Rfam family "Archaeal small subunit ribosomal RNA", at positions 459 to 879 of the family's 1478-position model. Lineage: Archaea; Thermoproteati; Thermoproteota. The record is from RNAcentral.